CAACAGGGAUUGCCCUAGUAACGGCGAGUGAAGCGGCAACAGCUCAAAUUUGAAAUCUGGUCCCCCCCGCGGGGGCCCGAGUUGUAAUUUGAAGAGGAUGCUUUUGGCGAGGCGCCUUCCGAGUGCCCUGGAACGGGACGCCACAGAGGGUGAGAGCCCCGUAUGGUCGGACGCCGAGCCUCUGUAAAGCUCCUUCGACGAGUCGAGUAGUUUGGGAAUGCUGCUCAAAAUGGGAGGUAAACCCCUUCUAAAGCUAAAUACUGGCCAGAGACCGAUAGCGCACAAGUAGAGUGAUCGAAAGAUGAAAAGCACUUUGAAAAGAGAGUUAAACAGCACGUGAAAUUGUUGAAAGGGAAGCGCUUGCGACCAGACUCGCGCCCGCCGGAUCAGCCGUCGCUCGUCGGCGGCGCACUCCGGCGGGCUCGGGCCAGCAUCGGUUCGCCUCGGGGGGAGAAAGGCGGCGGGAAUGUGGCUCUGCGGAGUGUUAUAGCCCGCCGCGCAAUACCCCCGGGCGGACCGAGGACCGCGCGUAUGCAAGGAUGCUGGCGUAAUGGUCGUCAGCGACCCGUCUUGAAACACGGACCAAGGAGUCGUCCUAGUAUGCGAGUGUUCGGGUGUCAAACCCCUGCGCGUAAUGAAAGUGAACGGAGGUGAGAGCUUCGGCGCAUCAUCGACCGAUCCUGAUGUUCUCGGAUGGAUUUGAGUAAGAGCAUACUGGGCCGGACCCGAAAGAAGGUGAACUAUGCCUGUAUAGGGUAAAGCCAGAGGAAACUCUGGUGGAGGCUCGCAGCGGUUCUGACGUGCAAAUCGAUCGUCAAAUAUGGGCAUGGGGGCGAAAGACUAAUCGAA
Molecule: ribosomal RNA, 849 nt
Filed under: Wardomycopsis dolichi
Lineage: Eukaryota; Fungi; Ascomycota; Sordariomycetes; Microascales; Microascaceae
Description: partial large subunit ribosomal RNA
Rfam family: Eukaryotic large subunit ribosomal RNA
Source: RNAcentral